CAGUCGAGGGCCCAACUUCUCAAAGUGAGC
Molecule: small RNA, 30 nt
Filed under: Bombyx mori (domestic silkworm)
Lineage: Eukaryota; Metazoa; Arthropoda; Insecta; Lepidoptera; Bombycidae
Description: ovarian small RNA-2571
Source: RNAcentral